RNAcentral lists this long non-coding RNA (355 nucleotides) under Trifolium pratense (red clover). RNAcentral's name for it is "long non-coding RNA (TPRA_LNC007044)". The record is from RNAcentral. Lineage: Eukaryota; Viridiplantae; Streptophyta; Magnoliopsida; Fabales; Fabaceae.
AAAUUCUCUUCGAAUAUCUUUUUGCGUUUCUCUAACUCGGAACUAUUUGUGUAUGUGCGUCCAUAUUUCGUCAUCCAUUGUUGAUGUGAUUCAACAACAGAUGAUUCAGACAUUGUUCGAGUCAUUGUUGUGUAUGCACAUGCCCACAAGAUGAUGCAAAUAGCAAUAAGAAACUUCAUUUUUUUUUAUGGACAAGGAUAUGAAGAAAAGUAACAGAGAUCCCGUUAUUUAUACAUGAGUAUGUGGUUCGAUCAACUGAUCACACGUUGACUACUUGUUUAAGGUUGACUUGUAAAAUUACUAAUAUCACCUUCUCUCUGCAGCAACUUGCAUGUUUCAUCCAAGUAAUUAUAAG